CCUCGCAGAAAAACUAAGUCCAUUUAUAAGUAAAAUACGGAAAAAAUGGAAUUUUAUUUUUACAAAAUUUACUUCUGGAUACUUUCUUAUGAUCAUAAACAAGCUUCUGUCCAAGUUUGGUAGAAAUUCAGUAUAGUUUAAGAAAGUUAUUAAAAUUUCAAAAACUUUAACCACAGAGUGAAUAUUUGUGGACGCCGCCGACGACGACGGAAUGUAGGAUCGCUUAGUCUCGCUUUUUCGACUAAAGUCGAAGGCUCGACAAAAACAGAAAAAAAAAUCUUUCCCCCUUCAUAAAUGUGAUACAUAUUUUAACUAUUACACAAAAAUAGUAGUUUCUUCCUUCAUUGUUUUCUUAAUCUGGUUAAAAAUAUAAAUGAACAAGAAUGUGUCCAAAGUACACGAUUGCCCCACUCGCACUAUUAUUUUCCAUGUUCAAUGGACCGUGAAAUUGGUAAAAAAUCUAAUUUUGCAUUAAAAUUAGAAAUAUCAUAACAUAGGGAACAUGUGUACUAAGUUUCAAGUUGAUUGGACUUGAACUUCAUCAAAAACUACCUUGACCAAAAACUUUAACCUAAAAGUCUAAUUUGUCUUAAAAAUUAGAAAGAUCAUAUCAUAAGGAACAUGUAUACUAAGUUUCAAGAUGAUUGAACUUCAGCUUCA
Molecule: long non-coding RNA, 660 nt
Filed under: Mytilus galloprovincialis (Mediterranean mussel)
Lineage: Eukaryota; Metazoa; Mollusca; Bivalvia; Mytilida; Mytilidae
Source: RNAcentral